CGGGGUGAGUAAUGUCUGGGAAACUGCCUGAUGGAGGGGGAUAACUACUGGAAACGGUAGCUAAUACCGCAUAAUGUCGCAAGACCAAAGUGGGGGACCUUCGGGCCUCUUGCCAUCGGAUGUGCCCAGAUGGGAUUAGCUAGUAGGUGGGGUAACGGCUCACCUAGGCGACGAUCCCUAGCUGGUCUGAGAGGAUGCCAGCCACACUGGAACUGAGACACGGUCCAG
Molecule: ribosomal RNA, 228 nt
Filed under: uncultured bacterium
Lineage: Bacteria
Description: partial 16S ribosomal RNA
Rfam family: Bacterial small subunit ribosomal RNA
Source: RNAcentral